Hydra vulgaris (swiftwater hydra) is the source of this 876-nucleotide long non-coding RNA. RefSeq lists it as uncharacterized. NCBI's taxonomy places the organism in Eukaryota, Metazoa, Cnidaria, Hydrozoa, Anthoathecata, Hydridae. The record is from RefSeq and is a predicted model, not a curated record.
AUAUAAGUCGUUAUUUUAAACGUUUGAUCGACCUUUAAUAAAUGUAUGUUAUAUUAUAAUAUAGUAAUAUAGCCAUUGGUCAGAAGACUCUUACAACAGCUUGAGUCACGCGGUUUAAAUAGCCAUGAUUAAAACGAAAUUUAACAUAAUUAAAAAAAUUUACUGCUAUAAAAUUAUUUUUAAUGGGCUAAAUAAUUAAAUUAGACUUAAAUGUGUUUUCAAGAUUUACUUUACAACAACUGAGAGCAAAUGACUGAUGAAUAAAUAAUAAACGAGUUUUGGGUGCGUCAUUUUAAUUCAUGGAAGUUAAAAAGCUUUUUUCGUGACAAUCUACCUUCAUAAAUGCCAAAAAAUCAAUGUUUUAGAAAUUAUUGAUGGCCACAUUAAAACAGUUAAAAAAAUAUAAGUUGCUGAUCUCUCGUUAUGAAAGUCCUGCUGCAAGAACUUUUUUCUUUUUUGCGGUUACAAAUCAGGUUACGAAAUGAGACGAUCAGAAUACGGAUGUAGAAGAUGAUUUUGCACAAGAGUAGGCGCGUUAUAAACAAGCGGUAGACGGUAUACUUGGAAGAUUUUUGAUAAUGCAUAAACCAGAGAAAACAGCGAUCCAAAAUUUAUGUUUAUGAGUUUAUUCAUUAUGUACAGUCUUUUCAGCUUCUAUAGCAACGCCCUUAUCCUUCAGCUUCUAUGGCAUCGCCCUUAGCAACGGUUAUUUCUUGUUUUCCUCCGUCAACGUCAUUUAAAAAGAAAAUCUUCUGAAGUUUUUAGAAAGGACAGAAAAAUUCUAAGAGGUGUCAAAAAAGGACAUAUUAAUAAAGAGAAAGAUAUUGAAGGUGGAAAAUCUUACUCUUAUGGAAAAUAUUAAAAAGUAUAAUUGAA